RNAcentral lists this ribosomal RNA (254 nucleotides) under uncultured bacterium. Its description in RNAcentral is "partial 16S ribosomal RNA". It matches the Rfam family "Bacterial small subunit ribosomal RNA", at positions 524 to 776 of the family's 1533-position model. The record is from RNAcentral.
CACGUAGGGUGCAAGCGUUGUCCGGAAUUAUUGGGCGUAAAGAGCUCGUAGGCGGUUUGUCGCGUCUGCUGUGAAAACUCGGGGCUUAACCCCGGGCCUGCAGUGGGUACGGGCAGACUAGAGUGCGGUAGGGGAGACUGGAAUUCCUGGUGUAGCGGUGAAAUGCGCAGAUAUCAGGAGGAACACCGGUGGCGAAGGCGGCAUCCUGGACCGGCAUUGACGCUGAGGGAGCGAAAGCCAGGGGAGCAAACGGG